AAAUUGAAGAGUUUGAUCAUGGCUCAGAUUGAACGCUGGCGGCAGGCCUAACACAUGCAAGUCGAACGGUAGCACAGAGAGCUUGCUCUCGGGUGACGAGUGGCGGACGGGUGAGUAAUGUCUGGGAAACUGCCUGAUGGAGGGGGAUAACUACUGGAAACGGUGGCUAAUACCGCAUAACGUCGCAAGACCAAAGAGGGGGACCUUCGGGCCUCUUGCCAUCAGAUGUGCCCAGAUGGGAUUAGCUUGUUGGUGAGGUAACGGCUCACCAAGGCGACGAUCCCUAGCUGGUCUGAGAGGAUGACCAGCCACACUGGAACUGAGACACGGUCCAGACUCCUACGGGAGGCAGCAGUGGGGAAUAUUGCACAAUGGGCGCAAGCCUGAUGCAGCCAUGCCGCGUGUAUGAAGAAGGCCUUCGGGUUGUAAAGUACUUUCAGCGGGGAGGAAGGUGUUGUGGUUAA
Molecule: ribosomal RNA, 464 nt
Filed under: Salmonella enterica subsp. enterica serovar Infantis
Lineage: Bacteria; Pseudomonadati; Pseudomonadota; Gammaproteobacteria; Enterobacterales; Enterobacteriaceae
Also listed under: 1 other name
Description: bacterial SSU rRNA
Rfam family: Bacterial small subunit ribosomal RNA
Source: RNAcentral